Molecule: ribosomal RNA, 497 nt
Filed under: uncultured bacterium
Lineage: Bacteria
Description: partial 16S ribosomal RNA
Rfam family: Bacterial small subunit ribosomal RNA
Source: RNAcentral
GAUGAACGCUGGCGGCGUGCCUAAUACAUGCAAGUCGAGCGAACCGACUAGAAGCUUGCUUCUCUGAUGUUAGCGGCGGACGGGUGAGUAACACGUGGAUAACCUACCUAUAAGACUGGGAUAACUUCGGGAAACCGUAGCUAAUACCGGAUAAUAUUUUGAACCGCAUGGUUCAAAAGUGAAAGACGGUCUUGCUGUCACUUAUAGAUAGAUCCGCGCUGCAUUAGCUAGUUGGUAAGGUAACGGCUUACCAAGGCAACGAUGCAUAGCCGACCUGGGAGGGUGAUCGGCCACACUGGAACUGAGACACGGUCCAGACUCCUCCGGGAGGCAGCAGUAGGGAAGCUUCCGCAAUGGGCGGAAGCCUGACGGAGCAACGCCGCGUGAGUGAUGAAGGUCUUCGGGUCGUAAAACUCUGUUAUGAGGGAAGAACAUAUGUGUAAGUAACUGUGCACAUCUUGACGGUACCUAAUCAGAAAGCCACGGCUAACUACGUG